This 330-nucleotide RNase P RNA is filed under the name marine eukaryotic metagenome. RNAcentral describes it as "Bacterial RNase P class A". It matches the Rfam family "Bacterial RNase P class A". Rfam says of the family: Ribonuclease P (RNase P) is a ubiquitous endoribonuclease, found in archaea, bacteria and eukarya as well as chloroplasts and mitochondria. Its best characterised activity is the generation of mature 5'-ends of tRNAs by cleaving the 5'-leader elements of precursor-tRNAs. The record is from RNAcentral.
GCUGGCCAGACGGUCGCGACAUUGUCGAGGAACGUCCGGGCUCCACAGGGCACGGUGGUGGGUAACGCCCACCCGGGGUAACCCGCGAGCAAGUGCAACAGAAAGUAAACCGCCCGAGGGGUAAGGGUGAAACGGUGGUGUAAGAGACCACCAGUGGGCGAAGUGAUUCGCUUAGCUAGGUAAACCUCACUGGGAGCAAGGUCAUGCAGAAGGCGUUUGAGAGCUGCUCGCUCGAGUCUUCGGGUGGACCGCUAGAAGGUUUCGGCAACGAAACUUCGAGAUAGAUGGCCGUCACCGAAAGGUACAGAACCCGGCGUAUCGGCCAGCCUC